RNAcentral lists this ribosomal RNA (503 nucleotides) under uncultured bacterium. RNAcentral describes it as "partial 16S ribosomal RNA". It matches the Rfam family "Bacterial small subunit ribosomal RNA", at positions 30 to 523 of the family's 1533-position model. The record is from RNAcentral.
AUUGAACGCUGGCGGCAGGCUUAACACAUGCAAGUCGAGCGGGGUGAUGGUGCUUGCACUAUCACUUAGCGGCGGACGGGUGAGUAAUGCUUAGGAAUCUGCCUAUUAGUGGGGGACAACAUCUCGAAAGGGAUGCUAAUACUGCAUACGUCCUACGGGAGAAAGCAGGGGAUCACUUGUGACCUUGCGCUAAUAGAUGAGCCUAAGUCGGAUUAGCUAGUUGGUGGGGUAAAGGCCUACCAAGGCGACGAUCUGUAGCGGGUCUGAGAGGAUGAUCCGCCGCACUGGGAAUGAGACACGGCCCAGACUCCUACGGGAGGUAGCAGUGGGGAAUAUUGGACAAUGGGGGGAACCCUGAUCCAGCCAUGCCGCGUGUGUGAAGAAGGCCUUAUGGUUGUAAAGCACUUUAAGCGAGGAGGAGGCUCUUUUGGUUAAUACCCAGAAUGAGUGGACGUUACUCGCAGAAUAAGCACCGGCUAACUCUGUGCCAGCAGCCGCAGUAA